This 823-nucleotide ribosomal RNA is filed under the name Klebsiella pneumoniae subsp. pneumoniae. Its description in RNAcentral is "partial 23S ribosomal RNA". It matches the Rfam family "Bacterial large subunit ribosomal RNA", at positions 444 to 1269 of the family's 2925-position model. The record is from RNAcentral. Lineage: Bacteria; Pseudomonadati; Pseudomonadota; Gammaproteobacteria; Enterobacterales; Enterobacteriaceae.
AUGGGGGGACCAUCCUCCAAGGCUAAAUACUCCUGACUGACCGAUAGUGAACCAGUACCGUGAGGGAAAGGCGAAAAGAACCCCGGCGAGGGGAGUGAAAAAGAACCUGAAACCGUGUACGUACAAGCAGUGGGAGCACCUUCGGGUGUGACUGCGUACCUUUUGUAUAAUGGGUCAGCGACUUAUAUUCUGUAGCAAGGUUAACCGUAUAGGGGAGCCGCAGGGAAACCGAGUCUUAACUGGGCGUUAAGUUGCAGGGUAUAGACCCGAAACCCGGUGAUCUAGCCAUGGGCAGGUUGAAGGUUGGGUAACACUAACUGGAGGACCGAACCGACUAAUGUUGAAAAAUUAGCGGAUGACUUGUGGCUGGGGGUGAAAGGCCAAUCAAACCGGGAGAUAGCUGGUUCUCCCCGAAAGCUAUUUAGGUAGCGCCUCGUGAAUUCAUCUUCGGGGGUAGAGCACUGUUUCGGCUAGGGGGUCAUCCCGACUUACCAACCCGAUGCAAACUACGAAUACCGAAGAAUGUUAUCACGGGAGACACACGGCGGGUGCUAACGUCCGUCGUGAAGAGGGAAACAACCCAGACCGCCAGCUAAGGUCCCAAAGUCAUGGUUAAGUGGGAAACGAUGUGGGAAGGCACAGACAGCCAGGAUGUUGGCUUAGAAGCAGCCAUCAUUUAAAGAAAGCGUAAUAGCUCACUGGUCGAGUCGGCCUGCGCGGAAGAUGUAACGGGGCUAAACCAUGCACCGAAGCUGCGGCAGCGACACUAUGUGUUGUUGGGUAGGGGAGCGUUCUGUAAGCCUGCGAAGGUGACCUGUGAGGG